This is a long non-coding RNA of Malaya genurostris, 722 nucleotides long. RefSeq lists it as uncharacterized. The record is from RefSeq and is a predicted model, not a curated record. The transcript is spliced from 3 exons. Lineage: Eukaryota; Metazoa; Arthropoda; Insecta; Diptera; Culicidae.
CAAGAUUAUGCGCAGCAGUUGGCAAUAGCACUACCAGCGGAAGAGUAGCUUGGCGCAGCUACUCUUGAAGAUGGCCAUAGGCUACUUUUGGCCGAGGGUGGGGGUUUGCUGGCUCAACACUUUGCAUACCAGACGGACUAGUUUAUGCUGCCCAAAUGAACACUAGCAACGUUGUUGGAAUCAUCAAAAUGAUAAGUUCCCUUUUUAUCGAAAUGAUAGGAUAGCUUGUAACCCAAACGACAGAUUCAUUUGCGGCAACCGAUUUACAACAAAAGAUAUGAGUAUCUGCUAUUGCAAAUCCAUCAAGGAAUUUGACACUUGGGCAGGCGUAAAAGUACCCCCAAACUACCACAAGCAAUUAAGGAAGUUUAUUCACAUGCCCUUGACGCGAUCGAAAAAACACGUAUGGAGCCAACAACAAAGAUUCCCUACACACAAGAGAGAUGGUACCUCGGAACUUUAAACUUAUGGGAGGAGACGUUACACGAAUGCUAUCCUGUUUACAUCAAACUAGCAGAGCCAUCCUUGCAAACGAGCUAACGAUCGACUGCUGCGAUUGAGGAAGUAGAUAUGCGAUGAGUCAAAUAAACUCACCGUAGCAGCAACUUAAGGGAUCGACACCUGAUCAACUAAAAGCACCAACGAGGAUAACAUCGGCCGACGCCAUCGAAAUGCACAUAAUUAAUAGAAGAAACAGCAAUAGUUUGGUGUUUAAUGUUGAA